AUUGAACGCUGGCGGCAGGCCUAACACAUGCAAGUCGAGCGGAUGAAGAGAGCUUGCUCUCUGAUUCAGCGGCGGACGGGUGAGUAAUGCCUAGGAAUCUGCCUGGUAGUGGGGGACAACGUUUCGAAAGGAACGCUAAUACCGCAUACGUCCUACGGGAGAAAGCAGGGGACCUUCGGGCCUCGCGCUAUCAGAUGAGCCUAGGUCGGAUUAGCUAGUUGGUGAGGUAAUGGCUCACCAAGGCGACGAUCCGUAACUGGUCUGAGAGGAUGAUCAGUCACACUGGAACUGAGACACGGUCCAGACUCCUACGGGAGGCAGCAGUGGGGAAUAUUGGACAAUGGGCGAAAGCCUGAUCCAGCCAUGCCGCGUGUGUGAAGAAGGUCUUCGGAUUGUAAAGCACUUUAAGUUGGGAGGAAGGGCAGUAAGUUAAUACCUUGCUGUUUUGACGUUACCGACAGAAUAAGCACCGGCUAACUCUGUGCCAGCCGCCGCAGUAA
Molecule: ribosomal RNA, 500 nt
Filed under: uncultured bacterium
Lineage: Bacteria
Description: partial 16S ribosomal RNA
Rfam family: Bacterial small subunit ribosomal RNA
Source: RNAcentral